UUUUCUUUCUAAAAGUUAAAAUUCUACUAAAUAAAACAGCUUGUAACUGAUUAUAUAACUGCUUUAAACAAUGUAACAAAUACACAUGAAAGCUCUGAGGCCCUACACUGUGCAAGGCCAAGUAUGAAUGUGCCUUUGAAAAACAAGCCAGGCCAGAGCGAGAGACUGAAAGAAAGAAAAGAAAGGACGAUUGGCCUUUUGCAUUAAAAAAAAAAAAGUGCUGAAUCACAGGUAUGAUGUGGUUAUUGGUAUGAAGCCAUAAUAUCUGUAAUAAUAACCAACCACAAUAUCCUUGAUAUACCAAAAGAUUUAUAAAGGAUCACCAGACCCAUAAGUAAUACUCAUCAGGACAAGUCAUUGACAAAUAAGUCGUCAUGAAUCUGCUAUUUAAUUCUCAAACCUCUUUAUAUAGACAUUUUCACUAACAGCACUAUAAUGUAGUCUAAACCUAUUUGACCUUGUGUCAAGGACAUAUUUUUGCUUGUCUGUGGAGUUUUAAUCUCCUAACAGCAUAUUGCUCAGAUUUCUCCCUCUCUCUCUCUCUCCUCUCACUCCAAAACACACAGUCAGUAAAGCUCUAGUGGAGAUAUUUACCUUAACACUGGCUUGGAAUAAUUUUAUCAGGCCUAAACGCAGAAGAAAGAGGGACGUUUUCAUUCCCAUCGUCGGAUCCUGUAACACAGGGCUUUUACAGAGGGGUUGGCUUGCGACGCCUCAGAGCAAGAAAACCAGAAUAACCAUCUUUUCUGCCUGAUGGUGCUUUUUUUUUCUCUUAAGAAAAUGAAAUCCAGCAUAAUUUUAGAGCGCAGCCUCUGAGGAGUGAAACUGCUGGAAAUUCUUGGGGCUGAUUUUUGUUAAGAGUCUUUAUGCAAACCAUCCCCCUCAUUUUCUUGCUGAAGACAGGAUGAAGGAGAAAAAAAUGCAUGAGCUCGUCAUUUCUCAGAGACAGACAGAGAGGUAUCAUCAGCUUUUAUUAAGGUAAUGGACACUUCACUGCAGGGGAAAUAUUUUUAAGUGUAAGCUUGUUAAAAAAUAUAUAUUUAUAACAUUUGCAUUUCUUACCAUGUCCUAAUUUACAAGUAUUUGCAAACCAAAUAUGAAUUGUUUUUGUUUUCUUCCAUUAAAAAUUUUCAAACCCUACAUUAGCCCCUUUCUGCAAUAAACUCAUAAUUCUGCAUCAGGGUAAAUAAUUACUUCUCAUGAAUACUUUUGCUUUUUAUUUCUAAUCUUAGUUUGAACCUUUGCUUUUUUGCAAGUUGAAAGGGGGGGCAUGCAGCUCUUUAAUGGCUGCUUAGCUGUUGUCUCUUUUCAAAAUGGCGGAUUCUCUAACAGCAGCAGCAGGAAGAAGAAGAAGAAGCCGGUCCGCCAUUUCUGGGCGAGCCACACUCGGAUACUACUUUACUAAGUAGUAGGCUAUGUGAAAACUACUUCACUUGAAGUUCAUCGCUUAUGCUUAUUAACAUGACCGUUUCGUCAAAUAAGACGACAAAGAUGGACUUAAAAUAAAUAUCACACACUACCGUACUAAAGAGUAUAUGAAAUUAAUAUGCGACAUGAGGGUUUCACAUACUACUUAGAAGGGUAGUAUGAAGGCUUUAGGACGUAGCCAUGGUGACCUACGAGCACCAAUAGAGAGGCGCAGCAUUCUCGUGCUUCCAUUUCACGCGCAGACAUUCUAACAUUCUGUUUUUAACGGCUUUUAAUAAUCUGGACGGGUUGGACCCAAAAUGGCGGGUUUUAACCAUAUAAGGACAUAAAAGUAGUUUAAAAUUUCAGUUACAGAGCAAAACGGUCAUUUGCUCGUCUCGUGUUCUGUAAACCCCACCUUCGAGAAUGUUCCACACAGUAACACGAUACAGGACGAGGUUGCAGAGUAAACAAGAAGCUGAGAGAGAAAGAACGGACAUUUUGUUCUGUGAUUUUGAGCACACGUGAUGUGUCUGCAAAUAGUGAGUGGUAUGUGGUGUGUAGAACUGUGUAUAGUGUACAUACGUGUAUAAUGUGUUUCCCCAUUUUGUGCAUUCAUGUAAUUGUACUUCAUAGUUUGCAGUGUAGUGCAUGCAUUUUCCAAGGCAACUGUGUGUCUCUCUCUUUUUUUUUUCUUUUUUUUUAAAUUCUUUUCUUCCUCACCUCUGCACCUAGGCUGGAGCAUUGCAGGAAACUAGUUACAUUUUCAGAGGCAUUCGAGGGGUCAAAUAUUUAGCAAUAACCCCAAAUGGUGCUUAGUCUUGGAUCAAGGUUUCUUCCUAAUAUUCCUAUGUUAGAAGAAACCUUGAUAUGAACCAUGGUUUAAAAGGAGGAACAUGUCAACAGUGGGUACUGGGAUUAGUUUAGGAAAUGCACAAAUGGAGUGGAAAAAAGUGACUUCUGGCUCAGACAGACAGAAGAUCCAUGAGAUGCAACAACGACCAUCAGAAUACAGCUGGACGUAAGCAGUAUAAUAUAUGAAUGUGAGAACAUGGAUGCGGCACACCUAUAAAAAAAAAAAAGAGAGAGAAAGAAAGAAGACGCUUCGAACAUCAGGCAGUUGCUCUAACCUCACAACAUAGCAGGACUAAAAAUGGGAGCAGCCUGGAGGGUGGAGGGCACACGCAGCUCCCUCAGAAGUGCUUUUGUCUUGUUCUAUUUUAAACAUUGAGAGGCACGGACAGAGAGAAAACCCUGCUGUCAAGAAACUGCUUUCAUACGCACCGGAUCCCUAAAGAAGAUUCUCAUCAUCUGAAUAGUUAUCUGUUAGGCCAUGUUUGUGAGUACGCUCUGAGAGUACGUCUGAUUUAGGAGCUAAUCGAUGUUGGCUGGUUAAAGAUCUGCAGAUGUGGAGAAUUUCCAGUGGAUUGAGUGUUUAGGGUUCAAAGGUCAGAUUAUACGGUUAAACCCAUGACAACAUGACUACAGGGUACGCACACAGUGUUUGUAUUUAAAUAAAGCCUUUUGAGACGUAAGUACUCUUGAUUGAGACUUGCUUCAAAAGUGAUCGAAUGAGAGAGAAUUACUAUGGAGAUGAUUUCAUUAUCUAUCUGUAAUUGUGUAUGUCAUUGAAAGAGCCUUACUGGUUUCAUGUUAGUCAGUACUUGAAAUGCUGAAAUAUUUGAGGAAAUAUGAGUGGGAUAUGAGGCGUUGUUCAGCAACCACCUAUAUUGCUGUCAAUCCAGUUAAUACAAAACGGUUACUUGAAUCUCCUGGAAUUUCAUUAUGAAGUUCAUUUAAAGUGCUGCAGAUUAAUGAUGUUUAAAAGGAAAUGGAUUAUUAGUAGUCUAUACUUAGUAGCGUAAGAAUUACACAAUUCUGUAUUUUGUAUAUUAUUUCAUUAACACAAGCCUGACCUUUUUGGAUAAUGUAUAUAUGAAAAAAUACAAACGUCUAUAUUCCUUUAUAUAUUUUUGUGUACCGUGCCUAUUUUUUAAGGCCCACAGUCUUUUUCAUCUUUUGUUCUGCUCUUAUGUGUGCACUCUCACUCUCUCUCUCUCUCUCUCUCUCUCUCUCUCUCUCUCGGUGUUGAAUGAAUCAUUUACCCAUUCUUAAUGUCCUAUGUUUCUAUGUACAUAUAAAUCAUGCAUAAAACACUUUAUAGCAAUGGGAGUGUAGGUGUGAGUGGGUGUUAUAGCAGGAUAUGAUUCACUUGGAGACUUAAAGGAGAAAAUCUGGUUUCACCGCUUUGCACUAAACACCUCCCUCAGAAGCCGUGUCUUUCGGAUGCGGUGUCAUUAAAGGCUGUUCCAUUUUAAAGGGUGUUUCAAAUACGCCAAUGAACUGCAGCCUGCUUUCUGAGUGCUCAGUAACUGUGUACUAUAUCACACAACCUGAGAAUGUGAAGAAAAUGGUAGAAAUAAUAGUAAACGUCAAUGAGGUACAAGUCGAUGAGAAAGCAUGAGCCACUUGUAUCAAAAUCUGUCAAUUAUACUGCGGAUCACGUGGGAUGAGGCUUUUUUUAUGAGACAUCAUGGCGUUUUUGCAGAUUUUUUUUGUGUGUGGGGCGACUGGAUACAGAGGAGGCAUAGUGCCGAGGAAGUAAAGAUGCACAUCCAGUGUGCAGCACAGCGCUAUUGAGUGUAGUUGCAUUUACAUUUACCUCAUUUGGCUGAUGCUUUUAUACAAAGUGACUUAUAAUAGAGACAGGAUACUGGUGGGCAGUUGGGGGUUAAGGGACCCAACAGUAGAGAUGCUGGAAUUUGCACUAACAAUCUUCCUAUCAGUAGACCAAUCCCCUAACUUCUGAGCCACCACUACCCAGAAAUAUGCAGAAUGAGCAAGGUAUUUCAGUGCAAUGAGAGGAGUUUCACUAAGAAGCAAUGUGUCCAGAAAGGCUUGUUGAUAGAUUUUCAUAGAAAACUCACCUCACAAGCAGUAGAUGGAUCUUCAAUUACAGGCCCAAAACCCUCAAAUUGCUUCUUUAAUGCUUUUGGCACAAAAUGAACUUCAUUGAAUUGGAACAGAUAUUUUUUUCCUUCUGUUGUCAAAGCACCAUUUCCCAUUUUCUCAGCUCUUAAGUUUCACUCCUUUAAUAUUACAAUAGUACAAAGUUUGGGACUUUUGGAAGAGAAGAAAAAUAAGUUGCAGAAAUCAUUCAGAACUUGGAUCUCCUCACCAUUCACACACUAUAGAAAAUUUUGAGCUUUUUGUUCUUUUGUAACAUAUAUUAUAAAGUUCUAGGUCUUACUUUAUUAUAUGAUUAUGUAGUAAUGUAAGUACUUAAGUGCCUUGUGAUUAUUUUUUUAAUGUUUUAAUUCUAGAUAUUGGUGUUUUCUGUAUGGUUGUUUACAUGUACUGGAAUAAAGUACCUUUUAAACUGUGGUGUACCACUUUCAA
Molecule: long non-coding RNA, 4806 nt
Organism: Ictalurus punctatus (channel catfish)
Lineage: Eukaryota; Metazoa; Chordata; Actinopteri; Siluriformes; Ictaluridae
Exons: 2
Source: RefSeq, a predicted model, not a curated record